This 530-nucleotide long non-coding RNA is filed under the name Homo sapiens (human). RNAcentral's name for it is "non-protein coding LINC01927:13". Lineage: Eukaryota; Metazoa; Chordata; Mammalia; Primates; Hominidae. The record is from RNAcentral.
CUUUCUUAAUGCCUUGCUGAGAUAUUCAGGCUCGGGCUGCCUCAGGAGAGAGGAAGUGGUUGAAUGCACAGAGGUGGCUAAUAAGGUUGGUCACUGGCCCCUGAGGGACGCUAGGCAAUAAGGAAGGUUCUCCCUUCCACACCCUUUCCAGUCUCGCCCUCACUCCUUGUGUCUCUUCCAGAGGGGACACAACAUUCCAGAAUCCCACAGGAAAGAUUCUACCAUCUCCACAGCUGCCCUCGCCGCAGUCCUCCCUACUGUUGGAGAAGAUGCCCCCAAUAACUGGGGUGUCUCGAGCUAGUGGACACAUCAUGGAGCUGGAGUGGACUGUGUCAUUAAGAUCCUCCCAUGGCCUCAUCCUGUGCUGGCCAUCGCUAUGCGUCCAGUAAGGUAAGGAGUUUGCUGAAACAGGCAGUUUCUUCAGAGCACAAUUUUAUCGGGUGACUUGGAUGAACUGGCUUGGGUGUGGGGUGUCCAGAAUGACAAUGUCUCUGUCAAGGGCCCUGGUUCCAUGCUGAGGACGUCUCUGC